UUAGAGUUUGAUCCUGGCUCAGGACGAACGCUGGCGGCGUGCCUAACACAUGCAAGUCGAACGGAGCUAGAUGCUGAGGACGUAGCUUGCUAUUGAAUCUUGUUUAGCUUAGUGGCGGACGGGUGAGUAACGCGUGAGCAACCUACCUUUCAGAGGGGGAUAACGUUUGGAAACGAACGCUAAUACCGCAUGAUAUUAUUGGGCAGCAUUGCCUGAUAAUCAAAGGAGCAAUCCGCUGAAAGAUGGGCUCGCGUCCGAUUAGGUAGUUGGCGGGGUAACGGCCCACCAAGCCGACGAUCGGUAGCCGGACUGAGAGGUUGAACGGCCACAUUGGGACUGAGACACGGCCCAGACUCCUACGGGAGGCAGCAGUGAGGGAUAUUGGUCAAUGGGGGAAACCCUGAACCAGCAACGCCGCGUGAGGGAAGACGGUUUUCGGAUUGUAAACCUCUGUCCUCUGUGAAGAUGAUGACGGUAGCAGAGGAGGAAGCUCCGGCUAACUACGUGCCAGCAGCCGCGGUAAUACGUAGGGAGCAAGCGUUGUCCGGAUUUACUGGGUGUAAAGGGUGCGUAGGCGGCUUUGCAAGUCAGAAGUGAAAUCUAUGGGCUUAACCCAUAAACUGCUUUUGAAACUGCAGGGCUUGAGUGAAGUAGAGGUAGGCGGAAUUCCCGGUGUAGCGGUGAAAUGCGUAGAGAUCGGGAGGAACACCAGUGGCGAAGGCGGCCUACUGGGCUUUAACUGACGCUGAGGCACGAAAGCGUGGGUAGCAAACAGGAUUAGAUACCCUGGUAGUCCACGCUGUAAACGAUGAUUUCUAGGUGGGGGUGGACUGACCCCCUCCGUGCCGGAGUUAACACAAUAAGUAAUCCACCUGGGGAGUUCGGCCGCAAGGCUGAAACUCAAAGGAAUUGACGGGGGCCCGCACAAGCGGCGGAGUAUGUGGUUUAAUUCGAAGCAACGCGAGGAACCUUACCAGGCCUUGACAUGGGAUGCGAAGAUGCAGAGAUGCAUCGGCGGUCAACAUCCACACAGGUGGUGCAUGGUUGUCGUCAGCUCGUGUCGUGAGAUGUUGGGUCAAGUCCCGCAACGAGCGCAACCCUUGUGGCAUGUUGCUAACAGGAAAAGCUGAGGACUCAUGCCAGACUGCCGGUGACAAACCGGAGGAAGGUGGGGAUGACGUCAAAUCAUCACGCCCCUUAUGACCAGGGCUACACACGUGCUACAAUGGCGUAAACAAAGGGAAGCGAACAUGUGGGUGCAAGCGAAUCCCAAAAAUAACGUCUCAGUUCGGAUUGUAGUCUGCAACUCGACUACAUGAAGCUGGAAUCGCUAGUAAUCGCGAAUCAGAAUGUCGCGGCGAAUACGUUCCCGGGUCUUGCACUCACCACCCGUCA
RNAcentral lists this ribosomal RNA (1395 nucleotides) under uncultured bacterium. Its description in RNAcentral is "16S ribosomal RNA". It matches the Rfam family "Bacterial small subunit ribosomal RNA". The record is from RNAcentral.